GAGAGGUGUUGUUGUGUAUUGGGAGACAUAGAGAGGUGUUUUGGUGUGUUCGGAGAGGUGUUUUGUGUGUUGGGAGACAGGGAGAGGUUUUGUUGUGUGUUGGGAGACAGAGAGAGGUGUUUUGGUGUGUUGGGAGACAGAGAGAGGUGUUGUGGUGUGUUGGGAUACAGAGAGAGGUGUUGUGAUGUGUUUGGUGACAAAGAAGAAUUGUGAUGUGUUGGGAUACAGAGAGAGGUGUUGAGGUGUUUUGGGGGACAUAGAGAGGUAUUGUGGCAUAUUUGGACACAGAGGGAGUUGUUGGGAGACAGAGAGGUGUUGGGAGACAGAGAGAGAUGUUGUGUUGUGUUGGGAGAAAGAGAGAGGUGUUGUGGUGUGUUGGGAGAAAGAGAGAGGUGUUGUGGUGUGUUGGGAGACGGAUAGAGGUGUUGUGGUGUGUUGGGAGAAAGAGAGAGGUGUUGUGGUGUGUUG
RNAcentral lists this long non-coding RNA (468 nucleotides) under Salmo salar (Atlantic salmon). RNAcentral describes it as "lncRNA (ENSSSAG00000103776.1, ENSSSAG00000106321.1)". The record is from RNAcentral. Lineage: Eukaryota; Metazoa; Chordata; Actinopteri; Salmoniformes; Salmonidae.